GCCAGACUCCUACGGGAGGCAGCAGUGGGGGAUAUUGCACAAUGGGGGGAACCCUGAUGCAGCAACGCCGCGUGAGUGAGGAAGUAUUUCGGUAUGUAAAGCUCUAUCAGCAGGGAAUAGAAAAGAAGGUACCUGAAAAAGAAGCCCCGGCUAACUACGUGCCAGCAGCCGCGGUAAUACGUAGGGGGCAAGCGUUAUCCGGAUUUACUGGGUGUAAAGGGAGCGUAGACGGCGAUGCAAGCCAGAUGUGAAAGCCCGGGGCUCAACCCCGGGACUGCAUUUGGAACUGUGUGGCUGGAGUGUCGGAGAGGCAGGCGGAAUUCCUAGUGUAGCGGUGAAAUGCGUAGAUAUUAGGAGGAACACCAGUGGCGAAGGCGGCCUGCUGGACGAUGACUGACGUUGUGGCUCGAAAGCGUGGGGAGCAAACAGGAUUAGAUACCCCUGUAU
This 447-nucleotide ribosomal RNA is filed under the name uncultured bacterium. RNAcentral describes it as "partial 16S ribosomal RNA". It matches the Rfam family "Bacterial small subunit ribosomal RNA", at positions 330 to 793 of the family's 1533-position model. The record is from RNAcentral.